Molecule: ribosomal RNA, 253 nt
Filed under: uncultured bacterium
Lineage: Bacteria
Description: partial 16S ribosomal RNA
Rfam family: Bacterial small subunit ribosomal RNA
Source: RNAcentral
UACGUAGGGGGCAAGCGUUAUCCGGAUUUACUGGGUGUAAAGGGUACGUAGGCGGUUCACUAAGUCAGAUGUGAAAGCCCGAGGCUCAACCUCGGGAUUGCAUUUGAAACUGGUGAACUAGAGUACAGGAGAGGAAAGUGGAAUUCCUAGUGUAGCGGUGAAAUGCGUAGAUAUUAGGAAGAACACCAGUGGCGAAGGCGGCUUUCUGGACUGUAACUGACGCUGAGGUACGAAAGCGUGGGGAGCGAACAGG